GGAAUAUUGGUCAAUGGACGGAAGUCUGAACCAGCCAUGCCGCGUGGAGGAAGAAGGUCCUAUGGGUUGUAAACUCCUUUUGCUCCAGAGUAAUAAGGUCCCUGCGGGGGUCGAUGAGAGUAUGGGGCGAAUAAGCAUCGGCUAACUCCGUGCCAGCAGCCGCGGUAAUACGGAGGAUGCAAGCGUUAUCCGGAUUUAUUGGGUUUAAAGGGUGCGCAGGCGGACUGUUAAGUCAGCGGUGAAAUCUCAUGGCUCAACCAUGGAACUGCCGUUGAUACUGGCAGACUAGAGUACGGACGGCGCCGGCGGAAUGUGUCAUGUAGCGGUGAAAUGCUUAGAUAUGCCACAGAACACCGAUCGCGAAGGCAGCUGGCGAGGCCGGGACUGACGCUCAGGCACGAAAGCGUGGGGAUCAAACA
This 419-nucleotide ribosomal RNA is filed under the name uncultured bacterium. RNAcentral's name for it is "bacterial SSU rRNA". It matches the Rfam family "Bacterial small subunit ribosomal RNA", at positions 358 to 774 of the family's 1533-position model. The record is from RNAcentral.